Molecule: ribosomal RNA, 468 nt
Filed under: uncultured bacterium
Lineage: Bacteria
Description: partial 16S ribosomal RNA
Rfam family: Bacterial small subunit ribosomal RNA
Source: RNAcentral
GACGAACGCUGGCGGCGUGCUUAACACAUGAAAGUCGAACGGAAAGGCCCUGCUUUUGCGGGGUGCUCGAGUGGAGAACGGGUGAGUAACACCUGAGUCACCUGUCCUUGACUUAGAGAUAUCUUAAGAAAACCGGGGUUAAUACCGCAUAAGAGCUAAUGCAGCCUGGUGGGGGUUGGAACGAUUCGGCGGGUGGGGAUGGACUCGCGACUUAUCAGCAUAUUGGUGGGGUAGUGGCUUACCAAGCCUUUGACGGGUAGCCGGCCUGAGAAGGUAACCCGCUACAUUGGUACAGAGAUACGGCCGACACUCCUAUGGGAGGCAGCAGUGAGUAAUAUUGCAUAAUGGUCGUAGACCUUACGCAGGCAGGCCAUGUGCGGAGUGACGGCCUUCGCGUUGUAGACCGCUUUGGCCGGUUACGAAGCGUGAUUGAUGUUAAUGGGUAAAGAAGCACCGGCUAAAUACGUG